CUGACCGUAAACGAUGCCAACUAGCGAUCAGGUGGUGGUAUUGUUAGCCCUGCCUGGGAGCUUCCCGGAAACGAAAGUCUUCGGGUUCCGGGGGUAGUAUGGUUGCAAAGCUGAAACUUAAAGGAAUUGACGGAAGGGCACCACCAGGAGUGGAGCCUGCGGCUUAAUUUGACUCAACACGGGAAAACUCACCCGGCCCGGACACUGUAAUGAUUGACAGAUUGAGAGUUCUUUCUUGAUUCGGUGGUUGGUGGUGCAUGGCCGUUCUUAGUUGGUGGAGUGAUUUGUCUGGUUUAUUCCGAUAACGAACGAGACUCUAACCUGCUAACUAGUCUUGCGAUAUGUUCGUCGUACGGACUUCUUAGAGGGAUCAGUGGUGUUCAGCCACACGAAAUUGAGCAAUAACCGGUCUGUGAUGCCCUUAGAUGUUCGGGGCUGCACGCGCGCUACACUGGAAGGAUCAACAUGCUCUUUUCCUGGGCCGAAAGGCCUGGGCAAACCUUUGAAAACCUUCCGUGAUCGGGAUAGGGAAUUGCAAUUAUUUCCCUUCAACGAGGAAUUCCCAGUAAGUGUGAGUCAUCAGCUCGCGUUG
This 592-nucleotide ribosomal RNA is filed under the name Diplogastridae sp. NK2011_2_1. RNAcentral's name for it is "SSU rRNA". It matches the Rfam family "Eukaryotic small subunit ribosomal RNA", at positions 1026 to 1643 of the family's 1831-position model. The record is from RNAcentral. Lineage: Eukaryota; Metazoa; Nematoda; Chromadorea; Rhabditida; Diplogasteridae.